Phthorimaea operculella (potato tuberworm) is the source of this 74-nucleotide non-coding RNA. The record is from the annotation of a GenBank genome assembly. Lineage: Eukaryota; Metazoa; Arthropoda; Insecta; Lepidoptera; Gelechiidae.
GCGCUCGUAGCUCAGUUGGUAGAACGGUGAGACGGUACCCCUCACUGUCCCGGGUUCAAGUCCCGGCGGUCGCU